GACGAACGCUGGCGGCGUGCUUAACACAUGCAAGUCGAACGGUGAAGCGCCUUCCUUUUUGGUGGGUGUGGAUGAGUGGCGAACGGGUGAGUAACACGUGAGUAACCUGCCCCCUUCUUCUGGAUAACCGCAUGAAAGUGUGGCUAAUACGGGAUAUUCUGGGUCUGUCGCAUGAUGGGUCUGGGAAAGAUAUUGUUUCGGUGGGGGAUGGGCUCGCGGCCUAUCAGCUUGUUGGUGGGGUGAUGGCCUACCAAGGCGGUGACGGGUAGCCGGCCUGAGAGGGUGGACGGCCCCACUGGGACUGAGACGCGGCCCAGACUCCUACGGGAGGCAGCAGGGGGGAAUAUUGCACAAUGGGAGCAAGCCUGAUGCAGCGACGCCGCGUGAGGGAUGGAGGCCUUCGGGUUGUGAACCUCUUUCGCCAGUGAAGCAGGCCUGCCUCGUUUGUGGGUGGGUUGACGGUAGCUGGAUAAGAAGCGCCGGCUAACUACGUG
Molecule: ribosomal RNA, 494 nt
Filed under: uncultured bacterium
Lineage: Bacteria
Description: partial 16S ribosomal RNA
Rfam family: Bacterial small subunit ribosomal RNA
Source: RNAcentral